UUGGUGAGGUAAUGGCUCACCAAGGCGACGACGGGUAGCCGGCCUGAGAGGGCGACCGGCCACACUGGGACUGAGACACGGCCCAGACUCCUACGGGAGGCAGCAGUGGGGAAUAUUGCACAAUGGGCGAAAGCCUGAUGCAGCGACGCCGCGUGAGGGAUGACGGCCUUCGGGUUGUAAACCUCUUUCAGCAGGGAAGAAGCGAAAGUGACGGUACCUGCAGAAGAAGCGCCGGCUAACUACGUGCCAGCAGCCGCGGUAAUACGUAGGGCGCAAGCGUUGUCCGGAAUUAUUGGGCGUAAAGAGCUCGUAGGCGGCUUGUCACGUCGGGUGUGAAAGCCCGGGGCUUAACCCCGGGUCUGCAUUCGAUACGGGCUAGCUAGAGUGUGGUAGGGGAGAUCGGAAUUCCUGGUGUAGCGGUGAAAUGCGCAGAUAUCAGGAGGAACACCGGUGGCGAAGGCGGAUCUCUGGGCCAUUACUGACGCUGAGGAGCGAAAGCGUGGGGAGCGAACAGGAUUAGAUACCCUGGUAGUCCACGCCGUAAACGGUGGGAACUAGGUGUUGGCGACAUUCCACGUCGUCGGUGCCGCAGCUAACGCAUUAAGUUCCCCGCCUGGGGAGUACGG
RNAcentral lists this ribosomal RNA (626 nucleotides) under uncultured bacterium. RNAcentral describes it as "bacterial SSU rRNA". It matches the Rfam family "Bacterial small subunit ribosomal RNA", at positions 249 to 885 of the family's 1533-position model. The record is from RNAcentral.